UACGUAGGUCCCGAGCGUUGUCCGGAUUUAUUGGGCGUAAAGGGAGCGUAGGCGGACUUUUAAGUGAGAUGUGAAAUACUCGGGCUCAACUUGAGUGCUGCAUUUCAAACUGGAAGUCUAGAGUGCAGGAGAGGAGAAUGGAAUUCCUAGUGUAGCGGUGAAAUGCGUAGAGAUUAGGAAGAACACCAGUGGCGAAGGCGAUUCUCUGGACUAUAACUGACGCUGAGGCUCGAAAGCGUGGGGAGCAAACAGG
This 253-nucleotide ribosomal RNA is filed under the name uncultured bacterium. Its description in RNAcentral is "partial 16S ribosomal RNA". It matches the Rfam family "Bacterial small subunit ribosomal RNA", at positions 524 to 776 of the family's 1533-position model. The record is from RNAcentral.